RNAcentral lists this ribosomal RNA (482 nucleotides) under uncultured bacterium. RNAcentral's name for it is "partial 16S ribosomal RNA". It matches the Rfam family "Bacterial small subunit ribosomal RNA", at positions 30 to 506 of the family's 1533-position model. The record is from RNAcentral.
UUGAACGCUGGCGGCAGGCCUAACACCUGCCAGUCGAGCGGAUGAAGGGAGCUUGCUCCUGGAUUCAGCGGCGGACGGGUGAGUAAUGCCUAGGAAUCUGCCUGGUAGUGGGGGAUAACGUCCGGAAACGGGCGCUAAUACCGCAUACGUCCUGAGGGAGAAAGUGGGGGAUCUUCGGACCUCACGCUAUCAGAUGAGCCUAGGUCGGAUUAGCUAGUUGGUGGGGUAAAGGCCUACCAAGGCGACGAUCCGUAACUGGUCUGAGAGGAUGAUCAGUCACACUGGAACUGAGACACGGGCCAGACUCCUACGGGAGGCAGCAGUGGGGAAUAUUGGACAAUGGGCGAAAGCCUGAUCCAGCCAUGCCGCGUGUGUGAAGAAGGUCUUCGGAUUGUAAAGCACUUUAAGUUGGGAGGAAGGGCAGUAAGUUAAUACCUUGCUGUUUUGACGUUACCAACAGAAUAAGCACCGGCUAACUUCGU